AUGACCUCAUGUUAAGUAGGAUUACCUGUUGAGUUUAAGCAUAUCAAUAAGGGGAGGAAAAGAAACUUACCAAGAUUCUCCUAGUAAUGGUGAGUGAAUCGGGAAGAGCCCAACUUAAGAAUCAAGCACCCUUAACAUUCGAAUUAUAGUAUGAAGAAGUGUCUUCAGCCGUAGAUCAAGCCCAAGCCCUUGAAAAGGGGUGCUGCGAGGGUAAAAGCUCUAUUUUCUUACACCACGAGGCACUGUUUAUAAGUCAUGUUGUUUGGAAAUGUAAAUCCCAAUCGGGCAGUAAAUUUUUUACAAGGCUUAAUACGGGUGAGAAAUUGAUAAUGAACAAGUACCAUAGGAGAAAGAUGAAAAAGACAUUGAAAAGAGAGUUAAAGAUUGCUUGAAAUUAUAAAAAAAGAAACAGAUGAGGGUUGAAGAUACACCAUGGUCAUCAGUGGAAUGGUGAGAGCUAGUCCGAUGAUUAGGUCGAGGUAUGGACUGAUGCGGGUCGUAAUACGAGGUAGCCUAAGCCUAGGCAUUUUAUAUGCUUGCGCUGCUGUCAUCACCAUAAUCGUGGAAUGCAACAAGAACCAUCUUGUCAUGCCUCGACACCUGUGUGCUCUCAAUGUCAACUUGUUGGUUCCUUAUUUGCCUAUCUUGAAACAUGAACCAAAGAGUCUAACAUGUGUAUGAGUUAAUGGGCUAAGAAACCCAUAAGGCAUAAGAAAGCUAAUUAAUGAGAUCCCUCACGAGUGUACUACCAAUUCAUCUUAAUAUUCUGAGAAGAGUUCAAGUGUGAGCAUACCUAUUAUGACCCAAAAGAUGGUGAACUAUACUUGAGAGGGGCAAAGCCAAAGAAAACCCUAGUGAAGGGCUAUAGUGAUACUGAGUGCAAAUUGUUCAUUUGACUUAGGUAUAUGGGUGAAAAACUAAUUGAACUAUCUAGUAUCUAGUUCCCUGUGAAGUUUCCUUUAAGAUAGCUAAAACCUUUAGCAAGUUCUAUCAAUGAAAGCCAUUGAUUAGAGGUAUUAAAGGCAUAAUGCCAUUGACCUAUUCUCAAACUUUAAAUAGGUAAGAUAGUGUGACUGCUAUGGAAUUGAAAGCUCCAAGUGGGCCAAUUUUGGUAAGCAGAGUUGAUGAUGAGGGAUGAAUCACAAACUGGGUUAUAGUACCUAAUUACAUGUUAACCUAGAACCCACAAAGGGGGUUGGUCAAUUAAGAUAGCAAGACAGUGGUCAUGGAAGUAGAAAUCUACUAAAGAUUAUGGAACAACUCACCUACCAAAUUAACUAGCCUUGAAAAUGGAUGGUGUUUAAGUGUGUGACCUAUACCUGGUCAUUGGGGCAAGGGCCAGGCCUCGAUGAGUAAGAAGGCAUGAUGAUUGUUGCAAAACUCUAGGCACAAGCUAGGAUAGAGCAACUGUCGAUGUAGAUCUUAGUGAUAGUAGCAAAUAUUCAAAUGAAAACUUUGAAGGCUAAAUAUGGGAAAGGUUCUAUGUGAAUGACAUUUACACAUGGGUUAGUCAAUCCUAAUAGACAAAGGAAGCCCAUUCGAUAAUGCAUCUAGAGUGAGCUUCUAAAGACAAUAGGGGUAAAGUUCUUGAACCUAGACAUGACAGCUGAUGGCAAUGUUGGGGACUCUAGAGACAUCGACUGGGGCCUCGAGAAGAGUUAUCUUUUUUGUUUAACGACAUGCUCACCCUAGAAAUGGCUAGUCAAAGGUAGAGUUUAGCAGUCAGAAGAGCACCACACAUCAUGUGGCAUCCAAUGCACCUCCAACAGUUUUUAAAAAUCUAAAAGACAAAGUGCUGUCCAUGCCCGAUCAUACUUAUAACUAUAUCAGGUCUCAAAGGUGAAUAACCUAUAGUCGAUGAAACAAUGUAAGCAAGCGAAGUCAGUAAAAUGGAUUUGUAACCUAGGGAAAAAGAUUGGCUCUGAGGGUUGGGAUGAAGGUCCUAGUCUUGAACCUAUCAACUGUCGAUGCACUAGUCGAGCUACAUUACCGUGAAAGUGGGUCAUCAUGUGCUCGUCAGGGGAUAGACUAGGACCAAUUCCUUUGAGAGCUUUCCCCGAGCAACAAAUAGUUGACUUAAAACUAGUACAAAAAAAAGGGAUUUUAAUUGUUUAAUUAAAAUAAAGCAGUUUGAUGGUCCUUACGAAUGCUCAUAGAAUAUGAUUUUUGCCUAGUGCUUUGAAUGUCAAAAUGAAGAAAUUCAACUAGGUGUGUGUAAAAUAGCGAGAGUAACUAUGACUCUCUUAAGGUAACUAAAUGCCUCGUCACCUAAUUAGUGAUGGGCAUAAAUGGAUUAAUGAGAUUCCCAUUGUCCUUGUCUACUACCUAGUGAAACCACAGCCAAAGGAACAGGCUUGGCAGAAUUAGUAGGGAAAAAAGACCCUAUUAAGCUUGACUUUAGUUUGACUUUGUGAAAUGAUUUAAAAGGUGUAGGAUAAGUGGAAGCUCUCUGGCAAAAUUGAAAUACCAUUACUUUUAAUGUUAUUUUACUCAUUCUAUAAAUCGAAGGUAGGGCAUGACCUUUUUUUUUUUACCUAAGGCUGACCUCGAUCAGUUAAUCCUGGCAAAAGACAUUAUUAGAUAGAGAGUUUGGCUGGGGUGGCACAUCUAUUAAAAGAUAACAUAUGUGUCUUAAGAUAAGCCUAAUGAGAAUAGAAAUAUCGUGUGAAACAAAAAGGUAAAAGCUCAUUUGAUUAUGAUUUCUAGUAUGAAUAUGAAUCAUGAAAGCGUGGCCUAUCGAUAUUUUAAACUUUUGGAAUUUGAAGCUAAAGGUGUCAGAAAAGUUACCAUAUGGAUAACUAGCUUGUGGUAGCCAAGCGUUCAUAGCGACAUUACUUUUUGAUCCUUUGAUGUUAGCUUUCCCUAUCAUUAUGAAACAAAAUUCACUAAGUGUUGGAUUGUUUACCAAUUAAUAGGGAACAUAAGCUGGGUUUAGAUCAUUGUGAGAUAGGUUAGUUUUACCCCACUGAUGUAGCAUCGUAAUAGUAAUUCAACAUAGUAUGAGAGGAACCAUUGAUUCAAACAAUUGGUCAUUGUAUUUGGUUGAAAAGCUAGUGGUGCAAAGCUAUCAUGUGCUGGAUUAUGACUAAAUGCCUCUAAGUCAGAAUCCAGGCUAGAAGUGAUGCACAAGCCCACCUCCCGAUUGCCUAUCUGUAGUAAAGGGCCCUUGGCCCUUAAUGGCAUUUGUCGUAGGGGCAACCCUCAUGACAAACAAGCCAUGUGGGCCUCUUUAGAGCUCAAUUCCCAUCGAGCAGUUAGUAAAAUCUUUUGCAAAUGAUUUAAAUACAUGAUG
This 3292-nucleotide ribosomal RNA is filed under the name Durio zibethinus. RNAcentral's name for it is "eukaryotic LSU rRNA". It matches the Rfam family "Eukaryotic large subunit ribosomal RNA". Lineage: Eukaryota; Viridiplantae; Streptophyta; Magnoliopsida; Malvales; Malvaceae. The record is from RNAcentral.